This 253-nucleotide ribosomal RNA is filed under the name uncultured bacterium. Its description in RNAcentral is "partial 16S ribosomal RNA". It matches the Rfam family "Bacterial small subunit ribosomal RNA", at positions 524 to 776 of the family's 1533-position model. The record is from RNAcentral.
UACAGAGGGGGCAAGCGUUGUUCGGAAUUAUUGGGCGUAAAGGGUGCGUAGGUGGGGAGGUAAGUCAGCGGUGAAAUCCCCGAGCUUAACUUGGGAACUGCCAUUGAUACUAUCUCUCUUGAAUAUCUUGGAGGUGAGCGGAAUAUGUCAUGUAGCGGUGAAAUGCUUAGAUAUGACAUAGAACACCAAUUGCGAAGGCAGCUCACUACACGGUAAUUGACACUGAGGCACGAAAGCGUGGGGAUCAAACAGG